Molecule: ribosomal RNA, 387 nt
Filed under: Lizzia sp.
Lineage: Eukaryota; Metazoa; Cnidaria; Hydrozoa; Anthoathecata; Bougainvilliidae
Description: partial small subunit ribosomal RNA
Rfam family: Eukaryotic small subunit ribosomal RNA
Source: RNAcentral
AUUCCAGCUCCAAUAGCGUAUAUUAAAGUUGUUGCAGUUAAAAAGCUCGUAGUUGGAUUUCGGAAUGGGUCAGUUGGUCCGCCGCAAGGUGAGUUACUGACUGAUUUGUUCUUCUUCGCAAAGACUGCGUGUGCUCUUUACUGAGUGUACGUAGGAUUUACGACGUUUACUUUGAAAAAAUUAGAGUGUUCAAAGCAGGCUAUCGCUUGAAUACAUGAGCAUGGAAUAAUGGAAUAGGACUUUGGUUCUAUUUUGUUGGUUUCUAGGGCCGAAGUAAUGAUUAAGAGGGACAAUUGGGGGCAUCCGUAUUUCGUUGUCAGAGGUGAAAUUCUUGGAUUUACGAAAGACGAACUACUGCGAAAGCAUUUACCAAGGAUGUUUUCAUCG